RNAcentral lists this long non-coding RNA (203 nucleotides) under Vigna radiata. Its description in RNAcentral is "long non-coding RNA (VRAD_LNC014684)". The record is from RNAcentral. Lineage: Eukaryota; Viridiplantae; Streptophyta; Magnoliopsida; Fabales; Fabaceae.
UCACAUGGAAUGUGUAGGGAAAAAGCUUGCUUGAUUAUUCCUUUGUUUUGAAUUAGUUUACAUUGUAGGAUUAGUUGUUUUUGAUUUCUUUAAUUUAGUUUUGCAUUUAAUUUAAUUUAACUGUGUUAGAUAGUUGAUUGUAACAGUGUUGGUGUCUAGUAUUUUAAUUUGUUUUAAUGUUGUCUAAUGUGUUUGGUCGUGUU